AGAUGUGAGGGCAAUCUGGCUGCGACAUGUUGCCCCACUGAUCACCAGGGUUGAUUCGGCUGAUCUGGCUGGCUGGGUGGGACGCACCGCUCUAUGUGCGUCUCUCCCAAAGGUGCGCGCUCGGUUGAAGGACGAACUUUCCCAAUGGAGGGAGGACCGUCCUUCGGUCAAGGGUGUGUGAGUAGCUGCGCUCCCCUGCUGGAACCUCCAAACAAGUCUCAAGGUCCAUUUGUGGGAGAACGUAGGGUAGUCAAGCUUCCAAGACUCCAGACACAUCCAAAUGAGGCGCUGCAUGUGGCAGUCUGCCUUUCUUU
This 314-nucleotide small nuclear RNA is filed under the name Echinops telfairi (small Madagascar hedgehog). RNAcentral's name for it is "7SK RNA (ENSETEG00000021591.1)". It matches the Rfam family "7SK RNA". From Rfam's summary of the family: 7SK was discovered as an abundant small nuclear RNA in the mid-70s but a possible function has only recently been suggested. The record is from RNAcentral. Lineage: Eukaryota; Metazoa; Chordata; Mammalia; Afrosoricida; Tenrecidae.